GGAUCCAGACUUUGAUCAUGGCUCAGGAUGAACGCUAGCGGCAGGCUUAACACAUGCAAGUCGAGGGGCAGCGCGGGGCGGCAACGUCCUGGCGGCGACCGGCGGAAGGGUGCGUAACGCGUGAGCGACAUGCCCGUUGCCCGGGGACAACCGGUGGAAACGCCGACUAAUCCCCGAUGGGACGGAGGCCCUCAUGGGUCUCUGUUGAAAGUUACGGCGGCGACGGAUUGGCUCGCGUCCGAUUAGCUUGUUGGCGGGGUAACGGCCCACCAAGGCUACGAUCGGUAGGGGUUCUGAGAGGAAGGUCCCCCACAAUGGAACUGAGACACGGUCCAUACUCCUACGGGAGGCAGCAGUGAGGAAUAUUGGUCAAUGGGCGGAAGCCUGAACCAGCCAUGCCGCGUGCGGGAAGGAGGCCCUAUGGGCUGUGAACCGCUUUUGCCUGGGGGCAAUAAGGGCGUCGUGCACGUCCGAUGAGAGUACCAGGCGAAUAAGCAUCGGCUAACUCCGUGCCAGCAGCCGCGGUAAUACGGGGGAUGCGAGCGUUAUCCGGAUUCAUUGGGUUUAAAGGGUGCGUAGGCUGUGCGUCAAGUCAGGGGUGAAAUUCCGGGGCUCAACUCCGGGGCUGCCCUUGAUACUGUCGCGCUGGAGUGCGGAUGCCGCCGGAGGAAUGAGUGGUGUAGCGGUGAAAUGCUUAGAUAUCACUCAGAACACCGAUUGCGAAGGCAUCUGGCGAAUCCGUAACUGACGCUGAGGCACGAAAGCGUGGGGAUAGAACAGGAUUAGAUACCCUGGUAUUCCACGCCGUAAACGAUGAUGGCUAACCGCCGGCGACACACUGUCGGUGGCCAAGCGAAAGCGAUAAGCCAUCCACCUGGGGAGUACGUCGGCAACGAUGCAACUA
RNAcentral lists this ribosomal RNA (904 nucleotides) under uncultured Bacteroidota bacterium. Its description in RNAcentral is "bacterial SSU rRNA". It matches the Rfam family "Bacterial small subunit ribosomal RNA", at positions 1 to 902 of the family's 1533-position model. Lineage: Bacteria; Pseudomonadati; Bacteroidota. The record is from RNAcentral.